AAGUCGUAACAAGGUUUCCGUAGGUGAACCUGCGGAAGGAUCAUUAACAAAUUCUUCAACACUGACGUCCCACCCAAUGUCUGUUUAAUCAGGUGAUUUUUUCAUGGAAACAUGAUGAAAUCAUCCUACUUGAACACAUUUGGUGGUGUACUCACUCACACACAUCUUGAUGGACAACACCUAGUGAUUCAUAUUACAAAAUGUAUAGACAACUUUUAACAAUGGAUCUCUUGGCUCUU
Molecule: unclassified non-coding RNA, 239 nt
Filed under: fungal sp.
Lineage: Eukaryota; Fungi
Description: partial internal transcribed spacer region
Rfam family: Eukaryotic small subunit ribosomal RNA (bases 1-46)
Source: RNAcentral